Bicyclus anynana (squinting bush brown) is the source of this 2757-nucleotide RNA transcript. RefSeq lists it as uncharacterized. The record is from RefSeq and is a predicted model, not a curated record. The transcript has 11 exons. Lineage: Eukaryota; Metazoa; Arthropoda; Insecta; Lepidoptera; Nymphalidae.
CACUCACAGGCUAGGAGCCGCCAGCACCGAGCCGUCCGUCUGUCACAGCUCAUUACAGUCAUUAGUGCGCGCCAGUUUAAGUUCAGGGACUAUUGUGUAAGAAGCUUUGUUUUUCACAGGUGAGAUUGCAAGCUCGCGUGGGCGCGCCGCUCGCCGCUCAGUUAGAGUUCGGCAUCGCCGCUGCUCGCACGAACCUCUCCGUCGCAUAAAGCGCAACGAACGACUUCCAAAAUGGCCACCGGUCCGAAAAUAGUGCACAAGCAAUUCAAUUCGCCCAUCGGUCUCUACUCCCAGCAAAACAUCCAGGAAACGUUGAGCAAGCAUAUGCAGAAUCUCGACAAUGGCACCGUGGGUAUUAACUUCCAUAACCCGGGUACCGACAAACCGGCCAAUCUGGCCAACUCGGCCGUUCUGCGCAUGCUAGAGGAGGAAGAACGCAGCCGCAAAGGAUUACCUAAAUUAGACCCCACCCAAAUCCAGGCGAUUUUGGAGAACCUUGUCCGCACGCAACGAAGAUUUGACCAAAUGUGGCCGCCGAGAAAGACGAAACCGAAUCGUAAUUGGGACGGCCAAAUCAACUCCACAUCGUAUAUUUAUUCCGAUCUCAUGAAGGCUACUAAAGGUCAAAAGAAAGUAGUGUGGCCACCAACGCCCGAAACCAACGGAUACCAUCAACCACAACAGCAGCCAGCAAACUACAACAACGCCCAGCACUCUCCGUCCCAACAACAAUACUCGCCACAACAGCAACAAUAUUCCCCACAACCGCAACAAUACUCCCCGCAACCACAACAAUAUCAAUACCAACCACAGUACCAAGCACCUCAGUCCCAGAACCAAUAUCCUCAGUAUAACCAAGGAGCGCAGUCGCAGCCUUCCUACUGCGAAGGGAAACGCCAGGAAUCCACAGGGCUGAGUAAACUGAUCCCUGUAGGCCCGGGUGUCAGCGCUUCCCCAGUCGCCCCGUCUUACCGCCAGGGCCCGUUGUCGCCUAGUGCCCAGCCCUACAAACAACAGCCAGGUCGUUGGGCGCCUGUACCGGCACCCAUAUCUCCGCAGCCGACGUCUCAAAAGCCCCAGUUCAACCAGCAGCCCCAAUACUCGCCCCAGGGCCAAUACUCCCCGCAACCGCAAUACUCGGAGCCCGCCUACCAGCCACCGCAGAGGCAGUUCGAGCCCCCGCCGGCGACCAUCACCCUUCGUCCCCAGCAACCCAUCCAUCAGCAACCACCACCGGUGUUCCCUAGCCAGCCGGCCACAGCGUCGCUCAAGGGAGGCGUCAACAUGCGUGGUGAUCAGAAAUGGCCGCCGCAGUCCGUGAAGGAGGCAGUCGCUGCAGAGAACGAAGCGAGGAGGCAGCUCGCGAAAGGGCCCGCCUGCAGACCACGUAAGCUGCGUCAGUAUUCGCUUGCCGAAUUACUGGCAAUGAACGAGGUCUAAGGGACCGACGCAUUCCGACGAAACAAAGUCGAGACAUGCCGGACUUUAAUACCCCUUUAGUAAAGAAGGACUACACCAGUUUCUUCUCGCAGCACGCCCUGAACCACAGCUACACGAGCUACCGCGUCCCGCCUGGUACACAACACUUCGAAGACCUCUCCGGCCGAUCCUCGUACUAAAUAGAGUCUAAAGAUAUGAUUAAGUGGUUAAUAACACCAAGGGUUAAUACCCGUUCUCCAUCUAAACAAAUACUAUUUUAGACGGAAGUGACAAAAUCCGACUUUUUACAAUAAAUUAUCUAAACUUAUUUAAUAUAUUGUAAAUUUCGAAUUUUGUUAUCAAUAGUUAGGUGCAAUUCGAUACUCAUCAAUAAAACCAUUCUCACAAUUUUAUACUCAACGGUUGUCCCGAAUUGGACUUCAACUGGAAGUACUUGUAAAGACUUUGGCUUAUUAAAGUCUUUGUGCAUGUACUCGAUUGGUUAUUCACAAUCAGUACAUUUAAAUUUAAGUAUUAUUUAUUUUACAUAAAUCAUGAUAUAGCUUGUAAGUGUAAUUAUAUAAAAAUAUAUUUAUUAUUUUCACGAAAAACAUUCAUCGUCAUAUAGAGUUCGCAUAAUUUAAAAUUUAAUACUACGUCCAAUUCAUUGUUAUGAAAAGUUUUACAGCUAAUUAACUGCUUUAUGCUUAUAACAAUGUUAUAAUAAAGACUCAAACUGACAUGAACUGCUGUUCGGACUAUUUCACUAGUCUGUGAAUGCCUUUCGGCUUGAAUACACAUGAGGAAAAGCAGGUUGCGAGACCAUGCUUUGUAACUUGGACCCAUCAAUCAUCAAAUCCAUCCAAUCAAAAUGUCGCUUCGAUAAAACAACGAAGUUAACCUACUUAUUUUCAGGUAAUGGUUCAUCAUUUAAACUCGAUAUUGUCGAUAUACAUAAUUACCCCGCAAGUUGUGUCUACUUGCAACAUCACGGAUAUAAUGUCUCGAUAUAUUUUGCACGCUAUUCAGAGCUAGAAAGUAUUAGCAACGUCCCUUGCGUUUUUGCGUCACUGAGAUCGAGUGUUAUUAAAUAAGACAUUUUUGUCCCCUUGUGUAUUCAAUAAUCUAAACCGCAGUUUCGUUCAUUUCAAGAUUAUAUCACAUAAUUACGUACACUAAUAAUAAAGUGCAAUUUAAUUUUAUUGGCUAAGCUUUAUGUGUAUGUACCUAGUCACGACGAAAUCGCUCGAAUUUUUGUGUAUAUAAAAAGUACAAUCAAAUAAUUUUGUAUUUCAAAAUGUCAUUUAUAUUUUAUUUAAAUAAACUUUUGAAAGCCAA